UUGCUCAGGUCUCUCCUCAUAUAGACGCACCAAUCUUUCACCUUUUACUAAAGAUCACCAUGGGGAGGGGCAUGCAAAUGAGCCUAUAGGCCAAUUUUACAGUGAAGCUGUGUACCUCUCG
Dermacentor silvarum is the source of this 121-nucleotide small nuclear RNA. RefSeq annotates it as U5 spliceosomal RNA. NCBI's taxonomy places the organism in Eukaryota, Metazoa, Arthropoda, Arachnida, Ixodida, Ixodidae. The record is from RefSeq and is a predicted model, not a curated record. The transcript has a single exon.